RNAcentral lists this ribosomal RNA (2923 nucleotides) under Klebsiella pneumoniae. Its description in RNAcentral is "23S ribosomal RNA". It matches the Rfam family "Bacterial large subunit ribosomal RNA". The record is from RNAcentral. Lineage: Bacteria; Pseudomonadati; Pseudomonadota; Gammaproteobacteria; Enterobacterales; Enterobacteriaceae.
GGGUUGUGAGGUUAAGCGACUAAGCGUACACGGUGGAUGCCCUGGCAGUCAGAGGCGAUGAAGGACGUGCUAAUCUGCGAAAAGCGUCGGUAAGGUGAUAUGAACCGUUAUAACCGGCGAUGUCCGAAUGGGGAAACCCAGUGUGAUUCGUCACACUAUCGUUAACUGAAUACAUAGGUUAACGAGGCGAACCGGGGGAACUGAAACAUCUAAGUACCCCGAGGAAAAGAAAUCAACCGAGAUUCCCCCAGUAGCGGCGAGCGAACGGGGAGCAGCCCAGAGUCUGAAUCAGCUUGUGUGUUAGUGGAACGGUCUGGAAAGUCCGACGGUACAGGGUGAUAGUCCCGUACACCAAAAUGCACAGGCUGUGAACUCGAAGAGUAGGGCGGGACACGUGGUAUCCUGUCUGAAUAUGGGGGGACCAUCCUCCAAGGCUAAAUACUCCUGACUGACCGAUAGUGAACCAGUACCGUGAGGGAAAGGCGAAAAGAACCCCGGCGAGGGGAGUGAAAAAGAACCUGAAACCGUGUACGUACAAGCAGUGGGAGCACCUUCGGGUGUGACUGCGUACCUUUUGUAUAAUGGGUCAGCGACUUAUAUUCUGUAGCAAGGUUAACCGUAUAGGGGAGCCGCAGGGAAACCGAGUCUUAACUGGGCGUUAAGUUGCAGGGUAUAGACCCGAAACCCGGUGAUCUAGCCAUGGGCAGGUUGAAGGUUGGGUAACACUAACUGGAGGACCGAACCGACUAAUGUUGAAAAAUUAGCGGAUGACUUGUGGCUGGGGGUGAAAGGCCAAUCAAACCGGGAGAUAGCUGGUUCUCCCCGAAAGCUAUUUAGGUAGCGCCUCGUGAAUUCAUCUUCGGGGGUAGAGCACUGUUUCGGCUAGGGGGUCAUCCCGACUUACCAACCCGAUGCAAACUACGAAUACCGAAGAAUGUUAUCACGGGAGACACACGGCGGGUGCUAACGUCCGUCGUGAAGAGGGAAACAACCCAGACCGCCAGCUAAGGUCCCAAAGUCAUGGUUAAGUGGGAAACGAUGUGGGAAGGCACAGACAGCCAGGAUGUUGGCUUAGAAGCAGCCAUCAUUUAAAGAAAGCGUAAUAGCUCACUGGUCGAGUCGGCCUGCGCGGAAGAUGUAACGGGGCUAAACCAUGCACCGAAGCUGCGGCAGCGACACUAUGUGUUGUUGGGUAGGGGAGCGUUCUGUAAGCCUGCGAAGGUGACCUGUGAGGGUUGCUGGAGGUAUCAGAAGUGCGAAUGCUGACAUAAGUAACGAUAAAGCGGGUGAAAAGCCCGCUCGCCGGAAGACCAAGGGUUCCUGUCCAACGUUAAUCGGGGCAGGGUGAGUCGACCCCUAAGGCGAGGCCGAAAGGCGUAGUCGAUGGGAAACAGGUUAAUAUUCCUGUACUUGGUGUUACUGCGAAGGGGGGACGGAGAAGGCUAUGUUAGCCGGGCGACGGUUGUCCCGGUUUAAGCAUGUAGGCUGGUUAUCCAGGCAAAUCCGGAUAAUCAAGGCUGAGGUGUGAUGACGAGGCACUACGGUGCUGAAGUAACAAAUGCCCUGCUUCCAGGAAAAGCCUCUAAGCAUCAGGUAACAUCAAAUCGUACCCCAAACCGACACAGGUGGUCAGGUAGAGAAUACCAAGGCGCUUGAGAGAACUCGGGUGAAGGAACUAGGCAAAAUGGUGCCGUAACUUCGGGAGAAGGCACGCUGGUGUGUAGGUGAAGUCCCUGCGGAUGGAGCUGAGACCAGUCGAAGAUACCAGCUGGCUGCAACUGUUUAUUAAAAACACAGCACUGUGCAAACACGAAAGUGGACGUAUACGGUGUGACGCCUGCCCGGUGCCGGAAGGUUAAUUGAUGGGGUUAUCCGUAAGGAGAAGCUCUUGAUCGAAGCCCCGGUAAACGGCGGCCGUAACUAUAACGGUCCUAAGGUAGCGAAAUUCCUUGUCGGGUAAGUUCCGACCUGCACGAAUGGCGUAAUGAUGGCCAGGCUGUCUCCACCCGAGACUCAGUGAAAUUGAACUCGCUGUGAAGAUGCAGUGUACCCGCGGCAAGACGGAAAGACCCCGUGAACCUUUACUAUAGCUUGACACUGAACAUUGAGCCUUGAUGUGUAGGAUAGGUGGGAGGCUUUGAAGCGUGGACGCCAGUCUGCGUGGAGCCAACCUUGAAAUACCACCCUUUAAUGUUUGAUGUUCUAACGUUGGCCCCUUAUCGGGGUUGCGGACAGUGUCUGGUGGGUAGUUUGACUGGGGCGGUCUCCUCCCAAAGCGUAACGGAGGAGCACGAAGGUUAGCUAAUCCUGGUCGGACAUCAGGAGGUUAGUGCAAUGGCAUAAGCUAGCUUGACUGCGAGCGUGACGGCGCGAGCAGGUGCGAAAGCAGGUCAUAGUGAUCCGGUGGUUCUGAAUGGAAGGGCCAUCGCUCAACGGAUAAAAGGUACUCCGGGGAUAACAGGCUGAUACCGCCCAAGAGUUCAUAUCGACGGCGGUGUUUGGCACCUCGAUGUCGGCUCAUCACAUCCUGGGGCUGAAGUAGGUCCCAAGGGUAUGGCUGUUCGCCAUUUAAAGUGGUACGCGAGCUGGGUUUAGAACGUCGUGAGACAGUUCGGUCCCUAUCUGCCGUGGGCGCUGGAGAAUUGAGGGGGGCUGCUCCUAGUACGAGAGGACCGGAGUGGACGCAUCACUGGUGUUCGGGUUGUCAUGCCAAUGGCACUGCCCGGUAGCUAAAUGCGGAAGAGAUAAGUGCUGAAAGCAUCUAAGCACGAAACUUGCCCCGAGAUGAGUUCUCCCUGAGACUUUAAGUCUCCUGAAGGAACGUUGAAGACGACGACGUUGAUAGGCCGGGUGUGUAAGCGCAGCGAUGCGUUGAGCUAACCGGUACUAAUGAACCGUGAGGCUUAACCUUACAACGCCGAAG